Molecule: long non-coding RNA, 311 nt
Filed under: Setaria viridis
Lineage: Eukaryota; Viridiplantae; Streptophyta; Magnoliopsida; Poales; Poaceae
Description: long non-coding RNA (SVIR_LNC001402)
Source: RNAcentral
AAAGAAUCCUUUCUAGUUUUUUUUUGUUGUAUGCAAUUGUCAUAAUACAUUAAGGAUAGAUAAGAUUAGAGCAAGGAAAUAUUUAGAAGCACUAGGGUAUUCCCUAUGGCUCCUAUCUUCACAUGAAUUCUUGACCCUCAAAUCUAAGAUCAACGAUUUAGAUUUAGUCUAGGGUUUGGUGUGAACUAGGAUCAAAUAAUUCCCCAUCCAUCCCCUCCACACUCAAAUUAUGGACCCUUGAAUUUGGAGAUCAACGGUUUAGAUUGAGUUGUUCUCCUCUAUAUAUUCUCCCCACCCACUCUUUAUCUCCA